Molecule: ribosomal RNA, 597 nt
Filed under: uncultured bacterium
Lineage: Bacteria
Description: bacterial SSU rRNA
Rfam family: Bacterial small subunit ribosomal RNA
Source: RNAcentral
GCUGGCGGCGUGCCUACCAUGCAAGUCAGGAGAAUUCCCGACUUGUCGGGAUAGUAAACUGGCGAACGGGUGAGUAACACGUAGGUAAUCUACCCUCGGGAUGGGGAUAACCCACCGAAAGGUGGGCUAAUACCGAAUAAUGUUCCGCUUUAAUCGAGCGGAAUGAAAGGUGGGGACCUUCGGGCCUACUGCCUGAGGAUGAGCCUGCGUCCCAUUAGCUAGUUGGUAAGGUAAUGGCUUACCAAGGCGACGAUGGGUAGCUGGUCUGAGAGGAUGAUCAGCCACAUUGGGACUGAGAUACGGCCCAAACUCCUACGGGAGGCAGCAGUGAGGAAUUUUGCGCAAUGGCCGCAAGGCUGACGCAGCAACGCCGCGUGACCGAUUAAGCUCUGAGGAGUGUAAAGGUCUGUCGCAGAGGAAGAAACUACCUGAUGAGAAUAUUGUCAGGUACUGACGGUACUCUGUGAGAAAGCUCCGGCUAACUCCGUGCCAGCAGCCGCGGUAAUACGGGGGGAGCAAGCGUUGUCCGGAAUCACUGGGCGUAAAGAGCGUGUAGGUGUCCUAAUAAGUCUCUGGUGAAAGCCUUCUGCUUAACGG